AUCUGUGAACCUCGAGAUAAUUUAAUGUACGAGUUUUGCACAUAUUGUAAUGUUAAUUCUCAUUUUAUAUUAGUAAUAAUAUAAAUAAAAUAAUAAUAUUAUAGUUGUUUUAUUUGAUUUAUUUAACAUUUUACAAUCGUAUAAGCUUUUAUAAAACUUCUACUAUGUAAGUUUGUUGACAUAACAUAGCUUUAAUCAUCUUCCGUUUUUCUUAAUUAUCUUUAUCAUUAGAAUUACGAUUUAAUUAUUCAUUCGUUUAUCCCAAUUGUGAAACGUAAAUAAAAUACAUUCAAUUUUCUUGCGCGAAGUAGAAAAUUGUGUUUGAAGGAAUCAAACUCAGCAGUUUUUACAAAUCAAAAGAUACACUCAGGUCAUUGAACUGUUGUACUUAAUAUGCAAUAAUGUUUAUGAUUUGGGGUAAGUAUUGCUAACACACAUUAACAUUUUAUUGUAUGUACUCAUUUAUAAGCUAAUAAAUUUAGUUUUUAAAAACUUAAACACGGCAUGUUUUACAUAAAACAUCAAUAAAAUAAUAGUACUUAAAAUCUAACUUAUACGCGAAUACAUACACUGUUAACACAUAUGAAAGUAGAUGUACCUAUCUAUAAACUAGUGUUUUUUUCGUGUUUAGUAACAAAGUUUAACGAAAAAUUUAAUGUAAAAAAUAUUCUACAUAAAAACACCAGUUUAUACAAAUGUAGUUAUACUAUUUCCAACAUGUUGAAUACAUUUUUAUUAUAAAUUAUAUAAAAGUAUUUUAUUUUAUGGUGAACAGCUACUAUAAAUUUGUAUUUACCUCUUAGUAGCUUAGUAAGACCACAGACUAUUACAACAAAUUAAAUAAAAAUAUCAGUGUAAUAGGCAUUGUUGGAAUAAUAAACGAGGAGACUGGUUCGCAAGUGGAGCACGAUCUGUAGAUACGCAAAAUCUCCGUGAUUCUGUAAUUAUAGCAAAUAAGAGUAUCAUAAGGAGAAUUCGCAUACCUCCUUACGAAGUAUAUAAAACUCAUUGGCGCAA
Bombus pyrosoma is the source of this 1017-nucleotide RNA transcript. RefSeq lists it as uncharacterized. The transcript is spliced from 2 exons. Lineage: Eukaryota; Metazoa; Arthropoda; Insecta; Hymenoptera; Apidae. The record is from RefSeq and is a predicted model, not a curated record.